This 492-nucleotide ribosomal RNA is filed under the name uncultured bacterium. Its description in RNAcentral is "partial 16S ribosomal RNA". It matches the Rfam family "Bacterial small subunit ribosomal RNA", at positions 29 to 507 of the family's 1533-position model. The record is from RNAcentral.
AGUGAACGCUGGCGGUAGGCCUAACACAUGCAAGUCGAACGGCAGCACAGUAAGAGCUUGCUCUUACGGGUGGCGAGUGGCGGACGGGUGAGGAAUACAUCGGAAUCUACUUUUUCGUGGGGGAUAACGUAGGGAAACUUACGCUAAUACCGCAUACGACCUACGGGUGAAAGCAGGGGAUCUUCGGACCUUGCGCGUUUGAAUGAGCCGAUGUCGGAUUAGCUAGUUGGCGGGGUCAAGGCCCACCAAGGCGACGAUCCGUAGCUGGACUGAGAGGAUGAUCAGCCACACUGGAACUGCGACACGGUCCAGACUCCUACGGGAGGCAGCAGUGGGGAAUAUUGGACAAUGGGCGAAAGUCUGAUCCAGCCAUACCGCGUGGGUGAAGAAGGCCUGCGGGUUGUAAAGCCCUUUUGUUGGGAAAGAAAAGCAGCAGGUUAAUACCCCGCUGUUCUGACGGUACCCAAAGAAUAAGCACCGGCUAACUUCGUG